This 384-nucleotide ribosomal RNA is filed under the name uncultured bacterium. RNAcentral's name for it is "bacterial SSU rRNA". It matches the Rfam family "Bacterial small subunit ribosomal RNA", at positions 29 to 414 of the family's 1533-position model. The record is from RNAcentral.
AUUGAACGCUGGCGGCAUGCUUUACACAUGCAAGUCGAACGGCAGCGCGGGGGCAACCCUGGCGGCGAGUGGCGAACGGGUGAGUAAUGCAUCGGAACGUAUCCUGUAAUGGGGGAUAACGUAGCGAAAGUUACGCUAAUACCGCAUACGCUCGAGAGAGGAAAGUGGGGAUCGCAAGACCUCACGUUAUAGGAGCGGCCGAUGCCCGAUUAGCUAGUUGGUGGGGUAAAGGCCUACCAAGGCGACGAUCGGUAGCUGGUCUGAGAGGAUGAUCAGCCACACUGGGACUGAGACACGGCCCAGACUCCUACGGGAGGCAGCAGUGGGGAAUUUUGGACAAUGGCGGAAAGACCUGAUCCAGCCAUGCCGCGUGCGGGAAGAAGG